AUGCAGUCCGGGUAUGGAGGGGUGUCGGAGUUCCAGCAGUUCAUCAUGGACGGCGGCUUCGCCAUGGCGGCGGCCCCGCAGCAGCAGGCGCAGGCGGCUGCCGCUGCGGCGGCGGCGGCGGGGGGGCAGGAGCUGGGCGCGCCGUUCAGGUACCAGCCGCUGCACCACCACGCGAUGCAGCACCAUCCCCAGCAGCAGCAGCAGCAGCAUCCGGCGCAGAUGCCGCCCCACUUCGCGCACUUCGGCGUGGCGCCCGCGGCGGCGGCGGCCGGCGGGAUUCCGUUCACGCAGCAGUUCCUCAACCACCAGGCGGCGGCCGCCGGGCACCACCACCAGCAGCACCACCACCUCCAGCUCUUCCACCACGAGCAGCAGCAGCAGCAGCAGCAGCAGCAGCAUCACAAGCCGCAGCCGCCGCCGGCGAGGUGGGCGCCGCAGCAGCAGCACCACCAGCACCCGCACCAGCAGCAGCAGCAUCACCACCACCAGCUGGGGCUGGACGUGGAGGCGGCGGCGGUCCCGGAGAGCUCCCGCGCCACGUCCGGCGGCGCGGCCCCUCCCGGCGUGCCCCCGUUCCUCGCCGCCGCCAUGAACUUCAAGCUGGCCGUGGACCCCGGCGGCGGGAGCGGCGCCACGGACGACGCCCUGAACGACGGCACGGGAGGCGGCGGCGGCGCGGGCAGCGGCAUGAUGCUCCACGGCGGAGGCGGGGGCGACGACGAGGCGGCCACGGAGAGCCGGCUCCGUCGGUGGACCGGCGAGGAGGAGACCUCCAUCAAGGAACCCACCUGGAGGCCGCUGGACAUCGACUACAUACACAGCACGAGCAGCAGCAGCAAGAGGGCGGGCGCCGGGAAGGAGAAGGUGGCCACGCCGGAGUCGCCGGCGCCGGUUGCUCCGGCGGCGAACUACUUCAAGAAGGCCGGUGGCGGGGACGACAAUGCGGGCGCUGCCGCGUCAGCGGGUGGCGGCGGCGGGAACUACAAGCUGUUCAGCGAGCUGGAGGCCAUCUACAAGCCGGGGAGCGGCGGCGGUGCGGGGCAGACGGGCUCCGGCUCUGGCCUCACGGGCGACGACAAUGCCAUCCUCCCGCCGCCGUCCAUGGCCGACCUCCCGGGCGGCGCGCUUGCCGCGGCCGUGGACGCGCCGCAGGCCAACACCUCGGAGACUUCGGCCGGGGAGGACGCGCCGGCGGUGCUGCAGCCGCAGCCGCCGCCUCCGCCGCAGGCGUCGGUGGGGGAGGCGCGCCGGAAGCGGAAGCGCCGGCGGCAGGAGCAGCAGCAGCAGCUGACCGCGUCGGCGUCCUUCUUCGAGCAGCUGGUGCAGCGGCUCAUCGAGCACCAGGAGGGCCUGCACCGCCAGUUCCUGGACGCCAUGGAGCGGCGGGAGCGCGAGCGCGCGGCGCGCGACGAGGCGUGGCGCCGGCAGGAGGCCGACAAGUUCGCGCGCGAGGCGGCCGCGCGCGCCCAGGACCGCGCCAGCGCCGCCGCCCGGGAGACGGCCAUCAUCGCGUACCUCGAGAAGCUCUCCGGCGAGACCAUCACCCUCCCCCAACAGCCGGCGGCCAACCCGGCCGCGCCCACGUCCGCGGACGACGCGACGAGCCACGACGCGGGGAGGGAGCUGGUGCCCUACGAGUGCGGCGAGCUGUCGCUGCCGCUGAUGAGCUCGUCGUCCCGGUGGCCGAAGCACGAGGUGGAGGCGCUGAUCCGGGUGCGGUCCGGGCUGGACAACCGGUUCCAGGAGCCCGGGCUGAAGGGCCCGCUGUGGGAGGAGGUGAGCGCGCGCAUGGCGGCGGCGGGGUACGGCGGCCGGAGCGCCAAGCGGUGCAAGGAGAAGUGGGAGAACAUCAACAAGUACUUCCGCAAGGCCAAGGAGAGCGGCAAGAAGCGCCCCGCGCACGCCAAGACCUGCCCCUACUUCGACGAGCUCGACCGCCUCUACUCCCGCUCCGGCCACGGCUCCGGCGCCUCCUCCGGCGCCGGCAACACCAGCGCCAAAGCCACCGCCAAUGCCAUAGCCACCGCCGACGACGCGGCCAACAAGGCCAGCUCCGAGCUGCUCGACGCGGUGGUCAAGUACCCCACCGACACCCACUACGGCCCGCCUCCGGGGUUCCCAAACGACGGCAAGGAGGACGGCGCAGCGCAGCACGACGGCGAGGGCGACGUGGACAUGGGCAGGGCGUCGGGGAGAGCAGGCGAGGACCACGAUGACGAGGCUGGCCAGAGCCAUGGGCACGACGACGACGACGAUCAUUAG
RNAcentral lists this ribosomal RNA (2262 nucleotides) under Triticum aestivum (bread wheat). RNAcentral describes it as "partial small subunit ribosomal RNA". Lineage: Eukaryota; Viridiplantae; Streptophyta; Magnoliopsida; Poales; Poaceae. The record is from RNAcentral.